AACGAACGCUGGCGGCAUGCCUAACACAUGCAAGUCGAACGAGACCUUCGGGUCUAGUGGCGCACGGGUGCGUAACGCGUGGGAACCUGCCCUUAGGUUCGGAAUAACUCAGAGAAAUUUGAGCUAAUACCGGAUAAUGUCUUCGGACCAAAGAUUUAUCGCCUUUGGAUGGGCCCGCGUAGGAUUAGCUUGUUGGUGGGGUAAUGGCCUACCAAGGCGACGAUCCUUAGCUGGUCUGAGAGGAUGAUCAGCCACACUGGGACUGAGACACGGCCCAGACUGAGAGGGGAGGUAGCGGUGGAGACUGUGUAAAGAGGGGAGAAAGACUGAUCCAUAGAUGUGGGGUGAGUGAAGAGGGGGUUAUGGUAGAACAACGUUGUAACGAGGAAAAAUAAGGAGAGUACUUGAAGAAUAACCACCGGCUAACUCCGUGAGAGCAGCCGCGAUAAUAAGCGGAAGCGAACACGAAGGAAC
This 474-nucleotide ribosomal RNA is filed under the name uncultured bacterium. Its description in RNAcentral is "partial 16S ribosomal RNA". It matches the Rfam family "Bacterial small subunit ribosomal RNA", at positions 34 to 540 of the family's 1533-position model. The record is from RNAcentral.